Molecule: long non-coding RNA, 147 nt
Organism: Labrus mixtus (cuckoo wrasse)
Lineage: Eukaryota; Metazoa; Chordata; Actinopteri; Labriformes; Labridae
Exons: 3
Source: RefSeq, a predicted model, not a curated record
UGCGGCUCCUGCAGCUGAUGAUUCAAUUCAAAGACACGUGGGCAGUCUGACCAAAACAAGAUGAAGAGCUGUUAACAUGUAUGCUACACCACGCUGCCUCACCUGCUUCAACAUCUGGUGAGUGUUUCCUCGCUCUGUGCUGCAGCU